AAGUGAUGUGGCACCUAGCAGCAACAUCUGUCACCCCACUGACCACCGCGGUUUAUUAGGCUGAUAAAGUGGGCUAGACAGAUGUCCCCUUCCUCCCUGUUUCAUGUAUGUCCCUCCUAAAGCUUCAUGCUAGGUCGAGAAGUACAGCCUUUAUGGAUAGAGGAGAAUCUUUCUUCAGCCAAGGGUAUGAGUAGCUAUGCUCCCCUAAUAGAAUCUCCAAACAAGCACUUGACCUCAGAACUAUUGACACUGGGGUCAGAUGAUCCUCUACUGGGGUAGUGGUGGUUUUUGUU
This is a non-coding RNA of Mesocricetus auratus (golden hamster), 293 nucleotides long. Lineage: Eukaryota; Metazoa; Chordata; Mammalia; Rodentia; Cricetidae. The record is from Rfam.